This 300-nucleotide ribosomal RNA is filed under the name uncultured Rubrimonas sp. Its description in RNAcentral is "bacterial SSU rRNA". It matches the Rfam family "Bacterial small subunit ribosomal RNA", at positions 496 to 795 of the family's 1533-position model. Lineage: Bacteria; Pseudomonadati; Pseudomonadota; Alphaproteobacteria; Rhodobacterales; Paracoccaceae. The record is from RNAcentral.
GAGAAGUAGGUGCGAGCAGUCGCGGUGUACUGUAGGGUGUGGGCGUUGUCCGGGUGUAUUGGGCGUAAAGGUGUCGUAGGGGUGUGGUGGCGGCGGGAGUGAAAGCACACAGCUUAACUGUGUGCGUGCUUUCGAUACGGGCAGACUUGAGGGAUGUAGGGGAGAACGGAAUUCCUGGUGGAGCGGUUGAAUGCGCAGAUAUCAGGAGGAACACCGGUGGCGAAGGCGGUUCUCUGGACAUUUCCUGACGCUGAGGAGCGAAAGCGUGGGGAGCAAACAGGAUUAGAUACCCGUGUAGUC